AGUGAACGCUGGCGGUAGGCCUAACACAUGCAAGUCGAACGGCAGCACAGGAGAGCUUGCUCUCUGGGUGGCGAGUGGCGGACGGGUGAGGAAUACAUCGGAAUCUACUCUGUCGUGGGGGAUAACGUAGGGAAACUUACGCUAAUACCGCAUACGACCUACGGGUGAAAGCAGGGGACCUUCGGGCCUUGCGCGAUUGAAUGAGCCGAUGUCGGAUUAGCUAGUUGGCGGGGUAAAGGCCCACCAAGGCGACGAUCCGUAGCUGGUCUGAGGGGAUGAUCAACCACACUGAAACUGAGACACGGGCCAGACGCCUACGGGAGGCAGCAGUGGGGAAUAUUGGACAAUGGGCGCAAGCCUGAUCCAGCCAUACCGCGUGGGUGAAGAAGGCCUUCGGGUUGUAAAGCCCUUUUGUUGGGAAAGAAAUCCAGCUGGCUAAUACCCGGUUGGGAUGACGGUACCCAAAGAAUAAGCACCGGCUAACUUCGUGCCGGCCGCCGCAGUAA
This 506-nucleotide ribosomal RNA is filed under the name uncultured bacterium. RNAcentral's name for it is "partial 16S ribosomal RNA". It matches the Rfam family "Bacterial small subunit ribosomal RNA", at positions 29 to 523 of the family's 1533-position model. The record is from RNAcentral.